RNAcentral lists this small RNA (184 nucleotides) under Mycolicibacterium moriokaense. RNAcentral describes it as "Mycobacterium moriokaense c-di-AMP sequence". It matches the Rfam family "c-di-AMP riboswitch aptamer (ydaO/yuaA leader)". Rfam says of the family: This family represents a conserved RNA structure found upstream of the ydaO and yuaA genes in Bacillus subtilis and related genes in other bacteria. Lineage: Bacteria; Bacillati; Actinomycetota; Actinomycetes; Mycobacteriales; Mycobacteriaceae. The record is from RNAcentral.
ACCCAGCCAACGACGAACAACUUUGGACGGAGGCGGGGGACCCACCGGUCCACCGAACGGAAGGACCUGGAGCCGGAUUUUCGGCUCCUUGGGGUGAAGCCGGCAUCGUUUCGACGCCGCCGGCCGGGCAACCUCUCCAGCCCGAACCCGACAGCUGACCUCGCGGGCGCCGAAGAGAGGACAU